Molecule: non-coding RNA, 162 nt
Organism: Camelina sativa (false flax)
Lineage: Eukaryota; Viridiplantae; Streptophyta; Magnoliopsida; Brassicales; Brassicaceae
Source: RefSeq, a predicted model, not a curated record
GUUCCUGCAGAUGGAGUUUUAAUAUCUGGCCACUCCCUUGCCCUUGAUGACUGGAGAGAUCACAUUCGUGUGGAGGCUAUCUGCUUGUGAGAAAAUGGGAUCUGCCACCAUUAUUUGCAGCGGUUAACAAGGACUCUUGCAAAAAAAUGCCGCUCUCAUAAG